This 1043-nucleotide long non-coding RNA is filed under the name Numida meleagris (helmeted guineafowl). Its description in RNAcentral is "lncRNA (ENSNMEG00000014504.1)". The record is from RNAcentral. Lineage: Eukaryota; Metazoa; Chordata; Aves; Galliformes; Numididae.
UGUCUGAGUUUCUCAGAUCUUGCAGUACUGAAAUCUGAUUUUAACUAUGAAUUACUUUAGCUUCAUUUUGUCAUGUGAUAGCUGCAGUCAUGAUUCUGUGACAGAAAUGGAUGACGCUUUCUUUUUUCCUUUCUUCCUUCUCGAACCAUUGGCAAAAUGUUCUAAAAAAUCUGAAGCAGGAAUCAUGAAAAACAACCCUGAAGUAUCAAAAUAAUAAAGCACAAGUGGAAAAAGAAAAGUAAUCAGUGAGUUCACUGCCAUUUUGGACAUGAUGAUCACUAACUGUCUUGGUCUUUAUGACAGAUGCUAAAAUACUGCAAGGCAUACAGAAGCCAUUUAUUACACUUAAAAUUCAAUAAAAUUAAGAGAAUGAAAAUAGUUUUGUUUUUUUUACAGUGAAACUGUUCCUACAACAACAGUAUAACAGGUUGAAAUAGGUCACAGGCAGCCCUCCUUACAUUGCUCAAGAACAUUAGAAGGAUUAAUCAUUUAUGGAUUAUCUCCUAGAAACAAUGAUCUGGUGCAGACAGGAAGACGCUGUCUGCCUGCCAGCUUGAAACAUGUAAAUUGCUGGAAUUUGCAUCAAAAAUGUGACAGCUCCUCUCUGACAAAGUGAAAGAAGACAUUCCACUAUGGCUUGUUCCCCAAUAAGAACAGCUCAGUGGAGAGAUGGCACUGAUGGAAAGAGAUGCAAUUACUGUGACUCCUCCUUCAUUUUACAGAGCUGUGAUUUUCUUAUUAUCCACGGUUCCUCUUUCAAUGUGGGGUGCCAACACCAACAAAGUGAUAGGGCUACAUUUUGUCCAGUAGGUACCAAUUAGCACAGACAGAAAGCUAUCUUCGUACAGGUGUUAGCUCCUGUUUACUGAAAAUCCUCUGCUUGUGCUAACUUCUAGCCCUACUUACUGCAAAACAUGUACAGGUAAAUCUGGUGUGUUUUGUUGCAGUAGAAUUGUGUCUUCUAACAAAAUAAGUUUGGAAUACCUUUUGUGUUUUAUCCAUUGAUUAAUAAAUAAACAAUCUGAUUAAAAGAUAAACUUAUU